Penaeus vannamei (Pacific white shrimp) is the source of this 228-nucleotide non-coding RNA. The record is from RefSeq and is a predicted model, not a curated record. Lineage: Eukaryota; Metazoa; Arthropoda; Malacostraca; Decapoda; Penaeidae.
GGGAAGAAGCAAAACCUCAUACAGAUGACAAUGAAGAGAGCAAUACAAGAAAGAAAACCUGUUGCAGCAUGUUAAGGACGGCACAAUUCCAAGUAUAUGCUUCACACUUCCUUUCUUCUUGGGGUGACCGCAUGUGGAUGUUUGCUGGUGGUCUCUUUCUCCUUGAAGUCACACCAGGAUCCCUUCGCUUGGCAGCAGUUUAUGGAGCUGCACUUGCUGUAACUGUCA